RNAcentral lists this ribosomal RNA (484 nucleotides) under uncultured bacterium. Its description in RNAcentral is "bacterial SSU rRNA". It matches the Rfam family "Bacterial small subunit ribosomal RNA", at positions 28 to 517 of the family's 1533-position model. The record is from RNAcentral.
GACGAACGCUGGCGGCGUGCCUAACACAUGCAAGUCGUACGGAGUUCACUUGGAAGCUUGCUUCCGAGUGAACUUAGUGGCGGACGGGUGAGUAACGCGUGAGCAACCUGCCUCACAGAGGGGGAUAACACACGGAAACGUGUGCUAAUACCGCAUAAUCCGAUGAAGCGGCAUCGCUUUAUCGGCAAAGGAGCAAUCCGCUGUGAGAUGGGCUCGCGUCCGAUUAGAUAGUUGGUGAGGUAACGGCUCACCAAGUCUACGAUCGGUAGCCGGACUGAGAGGUUGGACGGCCACAUUGGGACUGAGACACGGCCCAAACUCCUACGGGAGGCAGCAGUGAGGGAUAUUGCACAAUGGGCGAAAGCCUGAUGCAGCGACGCCGCGUGAGGGAUGACGGUCUUCGGAUUGUAAACCUCUGUCCUUGGUGAAGAGAAAGUGACGGUAGCCAAGGAGGAAGCCACGGCUAACUACGUGCCAGCAGCCG